This is a long non-coding RNA of Coffea eugenioides, 857 nucleotides long. RefSeq lists it as uncharacterized. The record is from RefSeq and is a predicted model, not a curated record. NCBI's taxonomy places the organism in Eukaryota, Viridiplantae, Streptophyta, Magnoliopsida, Gentianales, Rubiaceae. The transcript has 4 exons.
CUUUUCUUUUCUUUUCUUUUUUUUUUUGUUUUUGAUUCUGACCGAGAGCAACAACAAGAACAACAAGGUUUCUAUGACAAGUUUCAUGAGAUCUAUGUUCUCGACAGAGAGGUCUCUAUACUGAGCUGACGAACAUUAAGAUUUGUUAUCUAACAUUCGGUGGUUAGUUAAGUUUGGUCAGCUUUUGCUGCCACAAUUGUUGAAGAAAAAAAUGAGGAAGAAGAUGAGAAGUAAGAGAAAGUAAGGGUUAAGAGAGAGGGAGUCGGAUGGCUAAUGAAAGCAGUGGAGAAAAGGGUACCCGGUACUAUCACUGAAAAGUUGGGAGCAAGUAACCUUCUCCCAUGAGAAACAAAGGGAGAGGACGUCUCGAGACUGGAGUGGUUGGGGUUGGUGGAGUCGUUCCUGAUUUCCUGUGAAGAGUCUGAAGACCAAUGCACUACCAAAUAAAGGAAACAGAAAGCAAGGUCACGUGCGGGAAGUAAAAGAAUAAUGUACUUUUGCAUUUGACCAAAAGUGACUUAGUAAAACGUUUCACCAAUGUCAGCCGAGGUGAAAUAAGCCAAACUUUAGCAGCUGAACAAACUUCCUCCAAUGAAACAAGCAAAUUGCAGCCGAGCAGAAAUAAGCUGAACUUCCACUCUGGAGCUGCCACGUCCAAGAAAAUAAUGUACAUCAAAUGGGUUCUGCUGUACUAUGUUUGCACGUCCAAGAGGAUGAUGGAGAUUUAAAAAAUGCUAUUUUGUGAUGUCUUGGCGUUUAUGAGCUCAACUUCCACAACCUAAACAUUCAAGAUUAAAAUUAAACUUGUCUACUUUUCGUGUUUAGAAUGCCUAUAUAAUUAGAACUUCUUUUCAGCA